GGAAACUCAAACACCUCAAAUCAUAUCCAAGGAGAAAGGUUUAGUCCUUGGGAAAGCUUCUCGUGCUUCAAUCCUCAAAAAGCCGAAGACUGAACCUGAUGAACCACAUACUGUUGAUAUGCCACAGCUUGAGGUUCCUCUUGCUGUUAUUCACCCUGAGCCAUCAAAUGACAAAGGUUCUUCAAAUGGUAAUGCCUCAAGAAAGCAGCCAGACACUUCUGAAACCUCAGCAGCAGAGCUGAGAGGCGGAAGAGAAGCAGAUAAGGACAUUCCAACUUUUUCAAAUGGACUGGUAACAAGUCAUGAACUAGUAAAGCCGCAGAAUCAGUG
RNAcentral lists this unclassified non-coding RNA (330 nucleotides) under Hevea brasiliensis (rubber tree). The record is from RNAcentral. Lineage: Eukaryota; Viridiplantae; Streptophyta; Magnoliopsida; Malpighiales; Euphorbiaceae.